AUUGUGUACCACCUCUCUAAUAGAGGUGGGUCCCAUUAUUUGGUGGACUCUACCUCUAUUAGAGAGGUGAUACACAGUAGGCUUAUCGU
RNAcentral lists this microRNA precursor (89 nucleotides) under Prunus dulcis (almond). RNAcentral's name for it is "sRNA ncRNA". Lineage: Eukaryota; Viridiplantae; Streptophyta; Magnoliopsida; Rosales; Rosaceae. The record is from RNAcentral.